CAUCACCGCUGAUGGACAACCGUCCAUCUCCGAGGGGUGCUAAUGGUUUCACCGUCUAUUUAUUGUGAGCUACGAACGGAAGACGAGAUCAUCGCCGCGUGUUGCAGGCGAGAAGGUUUCCCAUCUACACCCCGUGACGACGAUCUCGUCGUCCGUUCGCUGGUGGCCACCACAACUUGGGCGACGAUCGGCCGGCCAUGCAUGACCGGCGAUGGAUGGCUAGUUGUAAGAUUGUCGGAGUUUCAUUCGAAUAAAAAUGGAGAAAAUAAAAUUUAUAUUUUAUAUUUUUAAUGAUGGGUAGUUAUGUUCUUUAUAAUAAUUAGGCCGUUUUUAAAAAAAAAAUUAGAGCUUUGAAUAAAAACUCUCAUUUACAAUAGUUAGAGCGCUUUAAAAAAAAUCUAGGACGUCGAAUAAUAACUCUCUUUUCUAUUUCCACAUAUGUAAGUAGCAAUUAAGUUUAGAAGGGGGUUAAAUAAUUAAACCUCUCACUUGAAUGAUUCUGAAGCCCAUCCACAUGUUGGAUUCAUCAAA
RNAcentral lists this long non-coding RNA (531 nucleotides) under Linum usitatissimum (flax). RNAcentral describes it as "long non-coding RNA (LUSI_LNC003982)". Lineage: Eukaryota; Viridiplantae; Streptophyta; Magnoliopsida; Malpighiales; Linaceae. The record is from RNAcentral.